AUCGGGAUUAAUCAAAUGCCCAUUUUUGCGAUCCAUGUAAUUUCUCUCUAGCCAAUUAAAAACAACAACAAUUAAUUGAAUUAAUAUUAAUAAAAAUCAUACAACAAAAUCUCAAAUCCGUCUUCCUUGAACUAGGCCACGUGUUUGUUUUCAAUUGGGAGGUGUCCAUAGGAUUCUCUAUGGACAGCUAAUGAAGGUUUCUUUACAGUUGGGCCAUAACGGCUCUUAAAAAAAUCCAAAAAAAGAGGGGACCAUCGGGAACGAAAAAAAAGGAAAUACAAAAAGAAAAGGGAAGAUUUUUUCUUCUCUCCUGGACACACACUCACGAAUUCUCUCUCUUUCUCUUCUAAAAAACGGAAAAGGUGGAAAAGAAAGACAGAAAAUUCCCUCACACGUUAUCUCCCUCAUCCGCCUUCACACUAGACAAAAAAAACAAACCCACAACCUCUUACGUCCGCCACCACUCACCAUUCUCCCUCUGUUUUCCGUUGAAAACCCUUUCACUUUACCUCCACCUUCACACCACUUACCAUCGGUAUAUACUGACCACCACUGUGAUUCAACAUACC
RNAcentral lists this long non-coding RNA (569 nucleotides) under Lathyrus oleraceus (garden pea). RNAcentral's name for it is "Pisum sativum (pea) long non-coding RNA (PSAT_LNC023309)". Lineage: Eukaryota; Viridiplantae; Streptophyta; Magnoliopsida; Fabales; Fabaceae. The record is from RNAcentral.